AGUACCGUGAGGGAAAGGUGAAAAGCACCCCGGAAGGGGAGUGAAAUAGAUCCUGAAACCGUGUGCCUACAACAAGUCAAAGCUCGUUAAUGAGUGAUGGCGUGCCUUUUGUAGAAUGAACCGGCGAGUUACGAUUGCAUGCGAGGUUAAGUCGAAGAGACGGAGCCGCAGCGAAAGCGAGUCUGAAUAGGGCGAAUGAGUAUGUAGUCGUAGACCCGAAACCAUGUGAUCUACCCAUGUCCAGGUUGAAGGUGCGGUAAAACGCACUGGAGGACCGAACCCACGUACGUUGAAAAGUGCGGGGAUGAGGUGUGGGUAGCGGAGAAAUUCCAAACGAACUUGGAGAUAGCUGGUUCUCUCCGAAAUAGCUUUAGGGCUAGCCUCGGAAUUGAGAAUGAUGGAGGUAGAGCACUGUUUGGACUAGGGGCCCAUCUCGGGUUACCGAAUUCAGAUAAACUCCGAAUGCCAUUCAUUUAUAUCCGGGAGUCAGACUGCGAGUGAUAAGAUCCGUAGUCGAAAGGGAAACAGCCCAGACCACCAGCUAAGGUCCCAAAAUAUAUGUUAAGUGGAAAAGGAUGUGGGGUUGCACAGACAACUAGGAUGUUGGCUUAGAAGCAGCCACCAUUUAAAGAGUGCGUAAUAGCUCACUAGUCGAGUGACCCUGCGCCGAAAAUGUACCGGGGCUAA
This 687-nucleotide ribosomal RNA is filed under the name Enterococcus faecalis. Its description in RNAcentral is "partial 23S ribosomal RNA". It matches the Rfam family "Bacterial large subunit ribosomal RNA", at positions 497 to 1184 of the family's 2925-position model. The record is from RNAcentral. Lineage: Bacteria; Bacillati; Bacillota; Bacilli; Lactobacillales; Enterococcaceae.